RNAcentral lists this transfer RNA (87 nucleotides) under Rhodospirillales bacterium RIFCSPLOWO2_02_FULL_58_16. RNAcentral's name for it is "tRNA-Leu". It matches the Rfam family "tRNA". Rfam says of the family: Transfer RNA (tRNA) molecules are approximately 80 nucleotides in length. Their secondary structure includes four short double-helical elements and three loops (D, anti-codon, and T loops). Further hydrogen bonds mediate the characteristic L-shaped molecular structure. tRNAs have two regions of fundamental functional importance: the anti-codon, which is responsible for specific mRNA codon recognition, and the 3' end, to which the tRNAs corresponding amino acid is attached (by aminoacyl-tRNA synthetases). tRNAs cope with the degeneracy of the genetic code in two manners: having more than one tRNA (with a specific anti-codon) for a particular amino acid; and 'wobble' base-pairing, i.e. permitting non-standard base-pairing at the 3rd anti-codon position. The record is from RNAcentral. RNAcentral also lists the same sequence under 1 other name. Lineage: Bacteria; Pseudomonadati; Pseudomonadota; Alphaproteobacteria; Rhodospirillales.
GCGGUCGUGGCGGAAGUGGUAGACGCGCAGCGUUGAGGUCGCUGUGAGAGAAAUCUCGUGGAAGUUCGAGUCUUCUCGACCGCACCA